RNAcentral lists this ribosomal RNA (497 nucleotides) under uncultured bacterium. RNAcentral's name for it is "partial 16S ribosomal RNA". It matches the Rfam family "Bacterial small subunit ribosomal RNA", at positions 28 to 507 of the family's 1533-position model. The record is from RNAcentral.
GAUGAACGCUGGCGGCGUGCCUAAUACAUGCAAGUCGAGCGAACAGACGAGGAGCUUGCUCCUCUGACGUUAGCGGCGGACGGGUGAGUAACACGUGGAUAACCUACCUAUAAGACUGGGAUAACUUCGGGAAACCGGAGCUAAUACCGGAUAAUAUAUUGAACCGCAUGGUUCAAUGGUGAAAGACGGUUUUGCUGGCACUUAUAGAUGGAUCCGCGCCGCAUGAGCUAGUUGGUAAGGUAACGGGUUACCAAGGCAACGAUGCGUAGCCGACCUGACAGGGGGAUCGGCGACACGGGAGCUGAGACACGGUCAAUACUCCUACGGGAGGCAGCAGAAGGGAAUCGUCCGCAAUGGGCGAAAGCCUGACGGAGCAACGCCACGUGAGUGAUGAAGGUCUUCGGAUCGUAAAACUCUGUUAUUAGGGAAGAACAAAUGUGUAAGUAACUAUGCACGUCUUGACGGUACCUAAUCAGAAAGCCACGGCUAACUACGUG